CGUCAUCAUCUAAAUUCCCCUAUUUCCUCUCCUUCCUUAUUCUCCGGGCAACUAACUGCCCAUACUUCCCUCUUCCACGACCUCCCCUCCUCCUCUUCUGUUUUCCAUUACAUUGUUUCGGUUUCACAGUCCUGCAUCCCCUCCGCAAGGCUACAACUCUUCGUAGGAGAAGCCUUUUCCCGGACCCCUGUUCCUGUUUUCAACUUUAAAAACCCUUCGAUUAAUCUUGUGGAGCGCGGCGGUGAAACUCAAUAAGGUAUAUACUCAUCUCAACUUUUCAAUUUGAUUGUUUCAACUUACUUACUAGUAUUGCAUCGCGGUUGUGGCUACACAAGUUCAAUUUUAUUUUUUCAGUUCAGAUAUCCAAGCUCUCUUAUGUCGGUUCUUACUCGAGUUCUCCUAAUUCAAGAUGAGUGAUUGCUUCAGAUC
RNAcentral lists this long non-coding RNA (429 nucleotides) under Linum usitatissimum (flax). RNAcentral describes it as "long non-coding RNA (LUSI_LNC002313)". Lineage: Eukaryota; Viridiplantae; Streptophyta; Magnoliopsida; Malpighiales; Linaceae. The record is from RNAcentral.